RNAcentral lists this ribosomal RNA (274 nucleotides) under uncultured bacterium. RNAcentral describes it as "partial 16S ribosomal RNA". It matches the Rfam family "Bacterial small subunit ribosomal RNA", at positions 523 to 796 of the family's 1533-position model. The record is from RNAcentral.
AUACGUAGGGUGCGAGCGUUAAUCGGAAUUACUGGGCGUAAAGCGUGCGCAGGCGGCUUUAUAAGCCAGAUGUGAAAUCCCCGGGCUCAACCUGGGAACUGCAUUUGGAACUGUAAGGCUAGAGUACGGCAGAGGGGGGUAGAAUUCCACGUGUAGCAGUGAAAUGCGUAGAUAUGUGGAGGAAUACCGAUGGCGAAGGCAGCCCCCUGGGUCGAUACUGACGCUCAUGCGCGAAAGCGUGGGGAGCAAACAGGAUUAGAUACCCUAGUAGUCC